This is a non-coding RNA of Pelobates cultripes (western spadefoot toad), 517 nucleotides long. NCBI's taxonomy places the organism in Eukaryota, Metazoa, Chordata, Amphibia, Anura, Pelobatidae. The record is from the annotation of a GenBank genome assembly.
UUUUUUAAAAUAUAUUUUUUGAAAUCCAAGUGAGUGCUCCCGUUUCCUGUUUUGUUUAUAUAUAUAUAUAUAUAUAUAUAUAUAUUUUUUUUUUUAAUUGGGUAGCACCCAAAAUAUUGGGACAUAUAAAAAAAGACAGAGUAGCUGUUGACAUUAUAGUUGUGCAGGAACUUUGUUGACUCUAGAGAGGGCAAAUCGCACAUCCCCGUGGCGGCGACUUUGCAUGCGGAUGUCAUCCAUAUCAACUUUGGAUGCCAGUUUCUGCACCUACCAUGGUGACCAUGGGUAACGGGGAAUCAGGGUUCCUGUCCAUACAGGAAACGGCUACCACAUGCAAGGAAGGCAGCAGGUGCGCAAAUGACCCACUCGUGACGCGGGAAGGUAGUGACGACAAAUAACAAUACAGGACUCUUUAGAGGCCAUGUAAUUGUAAUGAGUCCACUAGAAAACCUUUAACUCUGAUCAAUCGGAGGGAAGUCUGGUGCAGAGCCACUGACCCGUGCGUGCUGCAGCUGAA